This 31-nucleotide non-coding RNA is filed under the name Rattus norvegicus (Norway rat). Lineage: Eukaryota; Metazoa; Chordata; Mammalia; Rodentia; Muridae. The record is from RNAcentral.
UGCACUGUUAGAGUCCAGGAAAUGUCUCUGU